UGUGAAAACAGACUAAUACACUGCAUGUUCUCACUUAGAAGUAGAAGCUAAAUGAUGAGAACUCACAGACACAAAGACAGACACAAUGGAUACUCAGCCCUACUUGAGAGUGGAGGAUGGGAGGAAGCAGAGGAGCAGAAAAAAAUAAAUAUUGGGUACUAGGCUUAGCAUCUGGGUGAUGAAAUGAUCUGUACAACAAACCUCCAUGACACAAGUUUACCUAUAUAACAAACCUGCACAUGUACCCCAAAACCUGAAAGUUAAAAGUCACUAAGCCAGUUAAAUGAGAUUAUUGUUAACAACCUAAUAUACAAAUUGUGCUCUCUCUACUAAUCUCUGUAGAUAGUUUGAGCCCAGUCCUUAAUUCUCUUUGGCAAGAAUUGCAAAUUACCUUUAGCUACGGAUUUCAUUGUUCAAUUGGUUUUAAUUACAGCGUUUUCCAUUACUCAUCAUUUUCCUUAUUUCAAAUUAAGCCUCUCUUUUACUUCUUCCCUUAAGAGGAAAUGAGUGUUUGUCUUUUCUCAAACCUUCCUUUACAUAUUUGUAUCACAUGCCUUUUGUUUGCCUUUCUGGAAUAAACCCACUGUUCUCUCAUGUCCACAGAUGCCUCAUCAUCCCAGCAUAAAUUAUUCCAAUGUUUCAUGUAUUUACUUUUUUAAAUUUUAAAAAAUAGCCUGCCUUUCUUCUUCUGAGAUGCAAUAAUAUAAAGAAACAUGGACAGCCUAUUUCUUGUGCUUCAAAGAACAUAUUCCUAAUAAUUUGGGCCACUAUUUUGUUCCAUUCUAGUGUUUUUAUUGUGUGUGGAAAAAUCCUUCAGGUUAAUUCCUCAGUUUUACUCAGAACUAGAAUGCCUGGCAGUGUGAGGUCAGUGUUAUCACCAAUUCUCAACCAGCAUCAGGAAGGACCACACUUAACCCAGCUGUGACUGAUAAAUAACUCCUGGCUUAGCAGAAACUGUGAGCUUGUGUGCGAUGGUUAAGCAAUGUAAUAAAGGAACCAGCUCUAGUGGAGAGACUCUGAGCUCCAGAAGACUCACUGAGAAUGUCACCUUUGCUAGGAGAACAAACCCUAGAUAGCUUUCUGGAAGAUGAGAGACCACAUGGAACAGAGACCAAUGAUCUCGGCUGAAGACAACUUCAACCAGUUCCCGGCUGACCCACCAACUGACCACAGAUGCAAGAGUGAGCUUAACCAAGAUCAGCUGAGGUUGGCCCAGAUCAGCAGAACCACCAACCCAGUCCUAAGUUCACAAACAAAAAUAAAUUUUCAUUGUUACAUACCA
Molecule: long non-coding RNA, 1282 nt
Filed under: Homo sapiens (human)
Lineage: Eukaryota; Metazoa; Chordata; Mammalia; Primates; Hominidae
Description: HSALNT0403641
Source: RNAcentral